Long non-coding RNA from Hordeum vulgare subsp. vulgare (domesticated barley), 412 nucleotides. RefSeq lists it as uncharacterized. The transcript is spliced from 2 exons. NCBI's taxonomy places the organism in Eukaryota, Viridiplantae, Streptophyta, Magnoliopsida, Poales, Poaceae. The record is from RefSeq and is a predicted model, not a curated record.
GUCUGAGAUUGGUGGACGGGGGAAUACUGCUCAACACACAAGUUGAAAGGAAACACACGAACAAGGUGGAAGAACAAGUUUAUGCAAUCUACACAUGGAGGGGAAAGCUACUCUUUGGUUUCUGCUGGCGCUUUUGCUGCUAGGAAACUGCACUCACGCUGAGAAAUGCAAAACACGACUUACAUCAAGUGCAUCGUGCAUAACUGAUCAUUGUAGACAGGACUGCAUGAAUACCUACAAAGGGAAAAUUGUCAAGGAGGCUUAUUGUACUGGUUAUUCUACCUCUCUGUUUUGUGCCUGCGUCGUUUGUGACCAGAAGUAUAAACAUGCAAGGCGAUGAUGCAACAUUGCAUUUUUGGAGUCAUUUAUUUUUCAAAACAACGCAUGAGAUAAUGAAUUAAUGAAAUUUAAC